This 290-nucleotide ribosomal RNA is filed under the name uncultured bacterium. RNAcentral's name for it is "partial 16S ribosomal RNA". It matches the Rfam family "Bacterial small subunit ribosomal RNA", at positions 333 to 634 of the family's 1533-position model. The record is from RNAcentral.
CUCAUCCUACGGGAGGCAGCAGUCGAGAAUCCUUCACAAUGGGGGAAACCCUGAUGGUGCGACGCCGCGUGGGGGAAUGAAGGUCUUCGGAUUGUAAACCCCUGUCAUGUGGGGGCAAAUUAAAAAGAUAGUACCACAAGAGGAAGAGACGGCUAACUCUGUGUCAGCAGCCGCGGUAAUACAGAGGUCUCAAGCGUUGUUCGGAAUCACUGGGCGUAAAGCGUGCGUAGGCUGUUUCGUAAGUCGUGUGUGAAAGGCGCGGGCUCAACCCGCGGACGGCACAUGAUACU